AUGAGGCCACACAGGGGCGUGGCAAAGGCAUCAGGUACGGGCAGGAGGUCACACAGGGGCGUGGUUUUCCAGUUCACAAAUCUGAUCAAUUUUAACCUGUAUGCCUGCCUACUUCAUCCCCACAGGGCCAGGCACCCAGGAGGGCCCAGCAAUCUGCGAGAUGCAAGAAUGAAUGAAGCGUACAGGAGUGAAGGAGGAGCCUGCCCUCAUGGGGGGUUCCUGGGCCAGGCCCUGGCCCUUUCUACCACCUGCUCUGUGAGUUUGGGCUUAGUGUCCGAGCCCGGGAAGCAGACACGUUUACCAGGAAAGUGGCAUAGGCGGGCUGGCACCACGCCAGAACUUCACGCCUUCAACACCAACACUCAGGGCUGGCGCUGUGGUGUAGCUGGUAAAGACACUGCCUGCAGUGCCGGCAUCCCAUAUGGGCGCCAGUUCAAGACCCAGCUGCUCCACUUCCAAUCCAGCUCUCUGCUGUGGCCUGGGAAAGCAGUAGAAGAUGGCCCAAGUGCUUGGGCCCCUGCACCUGCAUGGGAGACCCGGAAGAAGCUCCUGGGUCCUGGCUUUGGAUCGGUGCAGCUCCGGCCAUUGCGGCCAUUUAGGGAGUGAACCAGCGGAUGGAAGACCCCCUCUUCUUCUCUGCUUCUGUAACUCUGCCUUUUAAAUAAAUAAAUAAAUCAUAAAAAAAAAACA
This 690-nucleotide long non-coding RNA is filed under the name Oryctolagus cuniculus (rabbit). RNAcentral's name for it is "lncRNA (ENSOCUG00000036065.1)". Lineage: Eukaryota; Metazoa; Chordata; Mammalia; Lagomorpha; Leporidae. The record is from RNAcentral.